This 116-nucleotide ribosomal RNA is filed under the name Labrus bergylta (ballan wrasse). The record is from RNAcentral. Lineage: Eukaryota; Metazoa; Chordata; Actinopteri; Labriformes; Labridae.
GCUUACGGCCAUACCACCUGAACACGCCCGAUCUCGUCAGAUCUCGGAAGCUAAGCAGGUCGGGCCUGGUAGUACUUGGAUGGGAGACCGCCUGGGAAUACCAGGUGCUGUAAGCU